GACGAAUGCUGGCGGCGUGCUUAACACAUGCAAGUCGAACGGUGAAGGAGAGCUUGCUCUCUGGAUCAGUGGCGAACGGGUGAGUAACACGUGGGUAACCUGCCCCUCACUUCGGAAUAACCAUCCGAAAGGAUGGCUAAUACCGGAUAUGGAAACCUGAGGCAUCUCCGGGUUUGGAAAGUUUUUCGGUGAGGGAUGGACCCGCGGCCUAUCAGCUUGUUGGUGAGGUAAUGGCUCACCAAGGCGAAGACGGGUAGCCGGCCUGAGAGGGCGACCGGCCACACUGGGACUGAGAUACGGCCCAGACUCCUACGGGAGGCAGCAGUGGGGAAUAUUGCACAAUGGGCGAAAGCCUGAUGCAGCGACGCCGCGUGAGGGAUGAAGGCCUUCGGGUUGUAAACCUCUUUCAGUAGGGACGAAGCGCAAGUGACGGUACCUACAGAAGAAGCACCGGCUAACUACGUGCCAGCCGCCGCCGUAA
RNAcentral lists this ribosomal RNA (481 nucleotides) under uncultured bacterium. Its description in RNAcentral is "partial 16S ribosomal RNA". It matches the Rfam family "Bacterial small subunit ribosomal RNA", at positions 28 to 523 of the family's 1533-position model. The record is from RNAcentral.